RNAcentral lists this non-coding RNA (26 nucleotides) under Bombyx mori (domestic silkworm). Lineage: Eukaryota; Metazoa; Arthropoda; Insecta; Lepidoptera; Bombycidae. The record is from RNAcentral.
UAACUCGCGGUUUCGUUCUUCGGUUU